This 228-nucleotide ribosomal RNA is filed under the name Triticum aestivum (bread wheat). Its description in RNAcentral is "partial small subunit ribosomal RNA". Lineage: Eukaryota; Viridiplantae; Streptophyta; Magnoliopsida; Poales; Poaceae. The record is from RNAcentral.
AUGGAUGAUACAAGAAAAUCACUACUCAAUUAGCCCACAAGAUUUAAAAUAAUCACUGGUAUAGCUAGGGGACUCCUUUAUCUCCACCAUGAUUCCAAAUUGGUUAUGAUUCAUAGAGAUCUCAAAGCAAGCAACAUAUUGUUGGAUACUGAUAUGAGCCCCAAAAUAUGUGAUUUUGGUACAACUAGGAGCUUUGGUGUCAAUGAACAGGAAGGACAUACCAAUUGA